RNAcentral lists this ribosomal RNA (1004 nucleotides) under uncultured Verrucomicrobiota bacterium. Its description in RNAcentral is "bacterial SSU rRNA". It matches the Rfam family "Bacterial small subunit ribosomal RNA", at positions 54 to 1014 of the family's 1533-position model. Lineage: Bacteria; Pseudomonadati; Verrucomicrobiota. The record is from RNAcentral.
CAUGCAGUCGAGCGGGAUUAUACGGACGGAAGCUUCGGUGGAAGGCUGUAUAUGAGAGCGGCGAACGGGUGAGGAAUACUUGAGUAAUCUGCCCUCAAGCCCGGGAUAGCCAUCCGAAAGGAUGAUUAAUACCGGAUGUGAUCGCUCCCGACAUCGGGAGUUGUUUAAAGGCGGGGAUUCCUUCGGGAACCUGUCACUUGGGGAUGAGCUCGAGCCCUAUCAGCUUGUUGGUGAGGUAAAGGCUCACCAAGGCUUAGACGGGUAGCUGGUCUGAGAGGAUGGUCAGCCACACUGGGACUGAGACACUGCCCAGACUCCUACGGGAGGCUGCAGUCGAGAAUCAUUCACAAUGCGCGAAAGCGUGAUGAUGCGACGUCGCGUGGAGGAUUAAGGCCCUAGGGUCGUAAACUCCUGUCGGGAGGGAAGAAACUUAUCUUGGUUAACACCCUUGAUAAUUGACGGUACCUCCAAAGGAAGCCACGGCUAACUUCGUGCCAGCAGCCGCGGUAAUACGAAGGUGGCGAGCGUUGUUCGGAUUUACUGGGCGUAAAGGGUACGUAGGCGGCCUUGUGUGUCGGGUGUGAAAGCCCACGGCUCAACCGUGGAACUGCACUCGAAACUGCAGGGCUAGAGUAUCGGAGAGGUAAGUGGAACUCUUGGUGUAGCGGUGAAAUGCGUAGAUAUCAAGAAGAACACCGGUGGCGGAGGCGACUUACUGGACGAAUACUGACGCUGAGGUACGAAAGCCGGGGGAGCAAAGAGGAUUAGAUACCCUCGUAGUCCCGGCUGUAAACGGUGUGCACUUGGUGUGGGAGGAUUUAUCCCCUUCCGUGCCGGAGCUAACGCGUUAAGUGCACCGCCUGGGGAGUACGGUCGCAAGAUUAAAACUCAAAGGAAUUGACGGGGGCCCGCACAAGCGGUGGAGCAUGUGGCUUAAUUCGAUGCAACGCGAAGAACCUUACCUGGACUUGACAUGCCCGUCGUACUUUCCUGAAAGGGAGAGG